Otolemur garnettii (small-eared galago) is the source of this 950-nucleotide RNA transcript. It is a transcript of the gene named chloride intracellular channel protein 1 pseudogene, with no coding region annotated. The record is from RefSeq and is a predicted model, not a curated record. Lineage: Eukaryota; Metazoa; Chordata; Mammalia; Primates; Galagidae. The transcript has a single exon.
UCUCCCAGUUCCCCCAGCGAUGGCCACUUCCUUGUCCUCGAUGCAACCAUGGCUGAAGAAUGACCGCAGGUCGAAUUGUUCGUGAAGGCUGGCAGUGAUGGGGCCAAGAUUGGGAACUGCCCCUUCUCCCAGAGACUGUUCAUGGUGCUCUGGCUCAAGGGAGUCACCUUCAAUGUCUCCACUAUUGACACCAAGAGGAGGACUGAGACAGUUCAGAAGCUAUGCCCAGGAGGGCAGCUCCCAUUCUUGCUGUAUGGCACUGAAGUACACACAGACACCAACAAGAUUGAGGAAUUUCUGGAGGCAGUGCUGUGCCCUCCCAGGUACCCUAAGUUGGCAGCUCUGAACCCUGAGUCCAACACAGCAGGACUGGACAUGCUUGCCAAAUUUUCUGCCUACAUCAAGAAUUCAAACCCAGCACUUAAUGAUAAUCUGGAAAAGGGGCUCCUGAAAGCCCUGAAGAUUUUAGAUAAUUACUUAACAUCCCCCCUCCCAAAAGAAAUAGAUGAAACCAGUGCUGAAGACGAAGGCGUCUCUCAGAGGAAGUUUCUGGAUGGCAAUGAGCUCACCCUGGCUGACUGCAACUUGUUGCCAAAACUCCACAUAGUACAGGUGGUGUGUAAGAAGUACAGAGGGUUCACCAUCCCUGAGGCUUUCCGUGGAGUGCAUCAGUACUUGAGCAAUGCCUGUGCUCGGGAAGAAUUCGCGUCUACCUGUCCAGAUGAUGAGGAAAUCGAGCUAGCCUACGAGCAAGUGGCCAAGGCCCUCAAAUAAGCCCCUCCUGGAGCUCUCUUGAAAGCUCUGAGUAGUUUCCACAUUGGUAUUCAAUGGACACACUCCAAAAUGGCCAGUGGGAAUCACUUGGAGCACUUGUGCAGGGCCAGAUUAGGAGGGAAGAGGGAUGACAGAAAGGGAUGGGGAACCUGAGUGAGAUUUUUAUUGUGGGCUGG